UGGGGUCAGAGGUCACCUACAGGGUCAGGAUGCAGGAGUAAGACACAUGAAAUUGAGGAGGCAGUGAGGAAGUUAUCGCUGCUCCCAUCAGAUAAUGACAAGAUGACGACAAGAUGAUGACUGGCCUCUGGCCCCGGCUUCGUGGUUUACAGGAGAGCUGUUGGCGAGCAAAGGGCACAAAAGGAGAAGAAAUAGAGAGGAAAAUGGAGAGCACUACUGCUACUUGUCAACAUAUCAGCAAAGUGUGACGCAAGCACAGGUGGACUGGUGUUGACACGGUCCGUGGGAACUAUGGAAAAGUCUUCAGUGUUCCAUUUUUGCAUCACAACAUGGUGUGACACCUGCUUGGACCGGAAAGCAGUGCUGAGCGUGGUGAAAACUGCAAGGCGCUACAGGACUCUACGUUCCAGGACCAGCAGGCUCAGGAACAACUUCUUGCCCUCAGCUGUCACCUUUAUUCUGUAUUUAUUGGUUUACUGUUAGUUUUAUCUGUAAUUACACUCUGCAUUAUAUAUUUUAUACUUAUACCUGCACUGCUUACCAUAUCCAGACUAUGCAAGUGUGUUCUUACGGUUCAUAAUGCUCAUACUGUAUAUAUCUAGUUCAUUGAUACCCAUUUUGUUUACCCCACAUUAUAUUUAUGAUAUAUAUAUAUUUUAUUCUGUAUGUAGUCUGUACAUUACUUGGCACUUGACCGUCUUUUGUAUUUCUGGUUAGACGCUAGACUGCAUUUCGUUGUCUCUGUACCUUUAUUCUGUACAAUGACAAUAAAGUUAGAUCUAAUCUAAA
Molecule: long non-coding RNA, 789 nt
Organism: Sebastes umbrosus (honeycomb rockfish)
Lineage: Eukaryota; Metazoa; Chordata; Actinopteri; Perciformes; Sebastidae
Exons: 4
Source: RefSeq, a predicted model, not a curated record